AACGAACGCUGGCGGCAGGCCUAACACAUGCAAGUCGAACGCUGUAGCAAUACAGAGUGGCAGACGGGCGAGUAACGCGUGGGAACCUUCCCAAUGGUGCGGAAUAGCCCAGGGAAACUUGGGGUAAUACCGCAUAAGCCCUUAGGGGGAAAGAUUUAUCGCCAUUGGAUGGGCCCGCGUCGGAUUAGCUAGUUGGUGCGGUAAUGGCUCACUAAGGCAACGAUCCGUAGCUGGUUUGAGAGAAUGACCAGCCACACGUGGACGGAGACACGGCCCAGACUCCUACUGGAGGCAGCAGUGGGGAAUUUUGGACAAUGGGCGCAAGCCUGAUCCAGCCAUGCCGCGUGAGUGACGAAGGCCUUAGGGUUGUAAAGCUCUUUUGCCGGGGACGAUAAUGACGGCACCCGGAGAAUAAGUCCCGGCUAACUUCGUGCCAGCCGCCGCGGUAA
Molecule: ribosomal RNA, 449 nt
Filed under: uncultured bacterium
Lineage: Bacteria
Description: partial 16S ribosomal RNA
Rfam family: Bacterial small subunit ribosomal RNA
Source: RNAcentral